Lutzomyia longipalpis is the source of this 460-nucleotide long non-coding RNA. RefSeq lists it as uncharacterized. The record is from RefSeq and is a predicted model, not a curated record. NCBI's taxonomy places the organism in Eukaryota, Metazoa, Arthropoda, Insecta, Diptera, Psychodidae. The transcript has 3 exons.
AUCUGAUCUCGCGAAGGUGGCAAAUGCAAAAAACAACACACCCACUGGAUAUUUUGCAAUUUCUUUCUUUGGUUGUGAAAAAGAAAACACAACACAACACAAAAAAUUAAGAGUACUCAUCUCGGCCAGCGAGAGAGGAAGCACAGUCUUAAUCACAGCCACUGUCGUUGUCAGCAGGUAAAAAUAUGGAAAAAAUCACUUAUUUGGGGGCGCCAAGAAGAGGAGGUGAAAGCGGAAUCCCACAUAACGCUUGCAACUCGUAAUUACCUAAUCUACCCCCAUACCGAAUUUUAUUACAAUCGGCCCAGCCGUUUCGGAGGAGUUCAUGUGCCACAGACAAACUGACAAACUUUCAGCUUUAAAUAUAUAAUUAAUAUUACUUCUACACCAAAAAAAAUUAUAAUAAGGAAAUAUGUAUUUUACGAUAAGAACCUCUAUAAAAUAAAAGAUUUAUUACGAA